This is a non-coding RNA of Chelonoidis abingdonii (Abingdon island giant tortoise), 2303 nucleotides long. Lineage: Eukaryota; Metazoa; Chordata; Testudines; Testudinidae. The record is from RefSeq and is a predicted model, not a curated record.
AGAUCAAUUUAUUCAGCUAAAAGUUAAUUUAAUUACAGUACAAAGUGCAAUAUUAGUAUCAUCUUUAAAAAGGGUUUUAAAAUCUAACGUCUUUAUAUGGUGACCAGGGUGCUCUAUGAAAUAGCUGAAAAAGGCAGAAGUGAGGUACUAUAUUUUAAAAAUCGGUCACAAGGUCAGUUGCUUUUGAUUUUUUAAUAAGCCAUAAAGAUGGCAAAUUUAAGUUUUGUCUGACAAAAUGAUACAAAACAGGCAAAUUUUCAGGAGGCUGAAAAGUGGUGAUAAAUGAAAGUGUGGUAUUCUAACUCUUGACAGGAAGGUGGGGUCCAGUGGUAUGAAUCAGGAUUGGGACCCAGGAACUCUCAAAAUUCUAAUCCUGGCGCUAAACUUUGCUCUUUUUGUGGCUCAUGCAGUAAUUACCCUUUCAUCUCAGUUGCCUCAUCUGCACAACGAAGAGGCUAAUAAAACUACCUAACAGGAGGUCUGAAGAAAGUUAAAUCAAUGAUUGUGAAGUGCUUUCACCUCCCACUACCCAAAAAACCCAACACACCAAACCAAGCAACAACAGUGCUUUAGUUGGUUUGAGAAAUAAUGUAGGCUGGGAUUUUCAAAGGUGCUUAAGAGCGCUGGUUCCCCAACUCCCACCGAAAAUCAUCGGGAUUGGGUCACCUAACUUCUUUAGACUCCUCUGGAAAUCUUGACUAUAAGUGCUAAGUAUUAUUACUCCAGCCACUAUUAGAACACCUUGUUUUAUUUUCUAUGAAAACCCAAAUAAUAAAAUAGCUUUUUAACACCUACUCACCAAAGAUAAAACUUACUGGCAACAUUAUCCUAAAUGGUCUAGAAAGUUCACUGAAUCCUUUCAUAUUUGGUCAAUUUUCUGUGGUUUUCCAACCCCCACCUCCACAGACAAUGAUCUUCAUUUUCUGUAUUUGUGCUACUGUUACUUAUGGCAGCUAACUAGAAAAUUCUUGGUUGGUACCAUUGGCAAAAAUUGCAUGUUUUUUAAUUUUGUUUUCAUUAUUAAUGCUUAAACUUUUACGUAAUUCCAUGUGAUGUGGAAAUAAUUUCUUGAAAAUGAUUAUCUUCCUUGAGAAAUGUGGUUUCUUUUUAAUCAGAGGUUCAUAGCUAUGGGCAAAAUUCUGCUUGAUUGACAUACGCUAAUCCCACUGACUUGAGUGUGAAUAGUCAGGUGACUAAUGACAGCAGGAUUUGGCUCCAAUGCUUCUGUAAUUUACCUAUACUAUCCACAGUGACAGUGAAAGCACAACAUUUUAUCGAAAAAGAAGUUUCUGGUACACAGCCCUAUGCAUAUAUUAUUUAGAGAGCACAUAGUCCAGCAAUGGAAAACGAAUCAAUAAUGUUCUGGAAACAAGGUCAUCCUAUUAGUUACAGCAGAAGAGUUUAGCCUCUCCUUCCAUAGUAUUAAGGCUGGCCAUUGUUAGAAGGGGGAAAAAACAGUAUAUGAGAAAACACAACAGUCACUUUUCUCAGUACAACCAUCUGAAAGAAAGAGCACAUGGCACAAAGCAUUUUUCAAACAUACAAGGAUUUUUUAUUUUAUUUUUUUAGAAAAAAAGUGGUGUUUUAAACCUACAGCAGAUUGUUACUUUUCCCCACAAAUUCUGCAUGUGUGACAUUAGUAGAAUGAGAACUUGAUGUAGGAGACAGAAAGUCAGUUUCUAAGCUUUAUCAACACAGAAUCAUCACUUAAAACGUAGGGCACUUAUAAGAAGCCAGUUUCCAAAUCCAUUCUCCUGCAUAUCAGGCCAGUAGGGGCUUGGAGAACUGCAAAUAGAGUCUACUCAUCCCUUACAGGGACUAUGCUGCAUUGCUAUGCAGUGAUCCCUUUGGCUAAUAUUCAAUAGAACAGAUCCUGAUGUUCUCCUAAUGGAGUCCAUUCAGCCUUCUUUAUUCAAAAUAAGGUCACCAAAAGGUAGGGUCUUAAGGGAGAAUGAACAUUAAAAAGAAAGAGCAAGAGAGAUGCCACAGUAUAUUCCCAGGAGAAAAAGUAGGACACUUCUACAAGGGCAAAGGCCUAGACUUUGCAUGGUUGUGCAAAAAAAUUCUUUUUCCAACAGCAAUUCCAAGAAUCACCGUCUCUGAACGCAGAAUUACAAAAGUGAUUGUCUCUAUACCUUACGAAGGUAAUCUACAAGCAUGCUUAUGUCCAAAUCCAGUAUUAAACAAGAACUUAAGCUAUAAAAGCAAUUGCUGGCAUGCUCUAAGCAAUAGAAAUUCCAAGAUGGUGGUUAUAUCUUGAAAUAACAGCAGAGAAUCCUGUGGCACCUUAUAGACUAACAGAC